UUUCCGUAGGUGAACCUGCGGAAGGAUCAUUAUUGGAUUUUGAAACUUCAGGCUGCUCCUGGCUCUCCUCGGAGGGCAUGUGCACGCUUGUUGUCCAUUAUUUCUCCCACUGUGCACAAAUUGUAGACCUUUCAGUAGGCCUAUGUUGUUUUUCACAAUCCCUGAAUGUAAUAGAAUGGUUUUGAAUCUUGGGAAAUACAAUACAACUUUCAGCAACGGAUCUCUUGGCUCUC
RNAcentral lists this unclassified non-coding RNA (233 nucleotides) under plant metagenome. RNAcentral describes it as "partial contains small subunit ribosomal RNA, internal transcribed spacer 1, and 5.8S ribosomal RNA". The record is from RNAcentral.